UACGGAGGGGGCAAGCGUUGUCCGGAAUUACUGGGCGUAAAGGGCGCGUAGGCGGCGUGUCAAGUCAGGCGUGAAAGCCCCGGGCUCAACCUGGGAACCGCGCUUGAGACUGGCAUGCUCGAGUUCGGGAGAGGAUGGUGGAAUUCCCAGUGUAGAGGUGAAAUUCGUAGAUAUUGGGAAGAACACCGAUGGCGAAGGCAGCCAUCUGGACCGACACUGACGCUGAGGCGCGAAAGCGUGGGGAGCAAACAGG
Molecule: ribosomal RNA, 253 nt
Filed under: uncultured bacterium
Lineage: Bacteria
Description: partial 16S ribosomal RNA
Rfam family: Bacterial small subunit ribosomal RNA
Source: RNAcentral